This 468-nucleotide ribosomal RNA is filed under the name uncultured bacterium. RNAcentral describes it as "partial 16S ribosomal RNA". It matches the Rfam family "Bacterial small subunit ribosomal RNA", at positions 28 to 507 of the family's 1533-position model. The record is from RNAcentral.
GACGAACGCUGGCGGCGUGCUUAACACAUGCAAGUCGAACGGAAAGGCCCUGCUUUUGUGGGGUGCUCGAGUGGCGAACGGGUGAGUAACACGUGAGUGACCUGCCCUUGACUUUGGGAUAACUUCAGGAAACUGGGGCUAAUACCGGAUAGGAGCUCCUGCCGCAUGGUGGGGGUUGGAAAGUUUCGGCGGUUGGGGAUGGACUCGCGGCUUAUCAGCUUGUUGGUGGGGUAGUGGCUUACCAAGGCUUUGACGGGUAGCCGGCCUGAGAGGGUGACCGGCCACAUUGGGACUGAGAUACGGCCCAGACUCCUACGGGAGGCAGCAGUGGGGAAUAUUGCACAAUGGGCGGAAGCCUGAUGCAGCAACGCCGCGUGCGGGAUGACGGCCUUCGGGUUGUAAACCGCUUUCGCCUGUGACGAAGCGUGAGUGACGGUAAUGGGUAAAGAAGCACCGGCUAACUACGUG